GUGGGGAAUAUUGGACAAUGGGCGAAAGCCUGAUCCAGCCAUGCCGCGUGUGUGAAGAAGGUCUUCGGAUUGUAAAGCACUUUAAGUUGGGAGGAAGGGUAGUAACCUAAUACGUUGCUACUUUGACGUUACCGACAGAAUAAGCACCGGCUAACUUCGUGUCAGCAGCCGCGGUAAUACGAAGGGUGCAAGCGUUAAUCGGAAUUACUGGGCGUAAAGCGCGCGUAGGUGGUUCAGUAAGUUGGAAGUGAAAUCCCCGGGCUCAACCUGGGAACUGCUUUCAAAACUGCUGAGCUAGAGUACGGUAGAGGGUGGUGGAAUUUCCUGUGUAGCGGUGAAAUGCGUAGAUAUAGGAAGGAACACCAGUGGCGAAGGCGACCACCUGGACUGAUACUGACACUGAGGUGCGAAAGCGUGGGGAGCAAACAGGAUUAGAUACCCGGGUAGUCC
Molecule: ribosomal RNA, 450 nt
Filed under: uncultured bacterium
Lineage: Bacteria
Description: partial 16S ribosomal RNA
Rfam family: Bacterial small subunit ribosomal RNA
Source: RNAcentral